Molecule: ribosomal RNA, 800 nt
Filed under: Bacillus licheniformis
Lineage: Bacteria; Bacillati; Bacillota; Bacilli; Caryophanales; Bacillaceae
Description: bacterial SSU rRNA
Rfam family: Bacterial small subunit ribosomal RNA
Source: RNAcentral
GGACGUGGCGGCGUGCUAUACAUAGCAAGUCGAGCGGACCGACGGGAGCUUGCUCCCUUAGGUCAGCGGCGGACGGGUGAGUAACACGUGGGUAACCUGCCUGUAAGACUGGGAUAACUCCGGGAAACCGGGGCUAAUACCGGAUGCUUGAUUGAACCGCAUGGUUCAAUCAUAAAAGGUGGCUUUUAGCUACCACUUGCAGAUGGACCCGCGGCGCAUUAGCUAGUUGGUGAGGUAACGGCUCACCAAGGCGACGAUGCGUAGCCGACCUGAGAGGGUGAUCGGCCACACUGGGACUGAGACACGGCCCAGACUCCUACGGGAGGCAGCAGUAGGGAAUCUUCCGCAAUGGACGAAAGUCUGACGGAGCAACGCCGCGUGAGUGAUGAAGGUUUUCGGAUCGUAAAACUCUGUUGUUAGGGAAGAACAAGUACCGUUCGAAUAGGGCGGUACCUUGACGGUACCUAACCAGAAAGCCACGGCUAACUACGUGCCAGCAGCCGCGGUAAUACGUAGGUGGCAAGCGUUGUCCGGAAUUAUUGGGCGUAAAGCGCGCGCAGGCGGUUUCUUAAGUCUGAUGUGAAAGCCCCCGGCUCAACCGGGGAGGGUCAUUGGAAACUGGGGAACUUGAGUGCAGAAGAGGAGAGUGGAAUUCCACGUGUAGCGGUGAAAUGCGUAGAGAUGUGGAGGAACACCAGUGGCGAAGGCGACUCUCUGGUCUGUAACUGACGCUGAGGCGCGAAAGCGUGGGGAGCGAACAGGAUUAGAUACCCUGGUAGUCCACGCCGUAAACGAUGAGU